RNAcentral lists this long non-coding RNA (220 nucleotides) under Elaeis guineensis (African oil palm). RNAcentral describes it as "long non-coding RNA (EGUI_LNC070585)". The record is from RNAcentral. Lineage: Eukaryota; Viridiplantae; Streptophyta; Magnoliopsida; Arecales; Arecaceae.
CUGUCCUCCCCUCGGCAUGACCCUCUUGGCCAUCCAUGAUCCUUGGCCCAGCUCCAAGGCACAUAUACCAAUCGAUAUACCAUAAGCCUUCCUUGUUCUCCAUGACCGAUCGGUUCCCGUGGAUCCCCGCGAGACAUCCCCUUGCGAUGCUCACGAGACUUGCCCGUUUAGGUAGGCCACACCCUUGCCCGACUAGCCCUCUAUCGCCUCUUCGCUCCAC